UUACGAGUCAAGAGGGUCGAUUGAUAUUUCCUCCUUCGAUUCCAUGAACAGCAGUGAGGUUUUCGAUGUCCCAAAGAGAGCGACGGUUCUUGACAUGGAUGGGAUCAUCUGUGAAGUUAGCGAUCAAAACUUUUAAUAAGAGCCUCAAAAUCAAUCUCUAAACCCUAGGGUUAAAUAAGAUAUAGAGUAAACCUUUGAGCUUGUCUCGUCGUCAUGAUCGUUCCCUUUGAGUACUUAUGAAACUUCUUUCCUUUUCCCAGGAGCGGCUCGGUGACGUCGUUCGCUCCUGGGUUCCGUUUCCAACAGAUAUGUACAAAUCCGAGCCCUGGGAUCUACAAGUUACUUUUUUUUUUAGUUCUCUAUCGAAUUGGUUACGAUGAUCUAGUUUUGAUUUAAUUGAUUUUGACUUGGGAUUAUAGACCAGUCGAAAGGUUACUGGAAGACGACUGGCAAGGAUUGCUAAUGGUUCGAGGGCCAUAGGGAUGAAGAAGACCCUUGUUUUGUUUUAUCACAGCCAGGGAUCGAGCUCCUCGUGGUGAAAGAACCAGUUGGGUUAUGCAUGAAUGAAUAUCGGCUUACUGAUGAAGAGUUAAAGAUUGCUGGUGUGCCACGAUGUAGGAUGCGUUUGUGCUAUGUGGGAUAUUCCAGGCCUAAGAAUGGAGAGCACUACGGUGCUCCUUAUCUUGAAGAGGAGUGGGAAAAUGACAUUAUGUACCCGAACAAGAUGGUCUAAGCGUGAAGGAUGAUUGGUUGUUGAUGAUGAUGUUUAUCUCGACCUUGACGAGUUCAGUACCCUCUUUUACUUCUCUGUACUGUCUUGCUUCCGUUGGUGGUCAGUUCCUCUUCUCCUGUUUGCAGUCAUUCUCUGCUUUCCGUAGAUGGGGUGAUUCUGAGCAGGUGUGUUAUUGGUACCUACCAUCUGAUAGAGGAGGCAGGUCACUCUUCCUUAUCCGCACCUUCUAAAACAACCGCAUGGCUAACGCAUAGC
Raphanus sativus (radish) is the source of this 988-nucleotide long non-coding RNA. RefSeq lists it as uncharacterized. Lineage: Eukaryota; Viridiplantae; Streptophyta; Magnoliopsida; Brassicales; Brassicaceae. The record is from RefSeq and is a predicted model, not a curated record. The transcript is spliced from 3 exons.